UGUAAGCGUAUACCAAAGUUGUUGCAGUUAAAACGCUCGUAGUCGGAAUUUGGCAGUUCCGGAUGUGUGCACGUCGUGUGCGCACUUCGCGGGGAUUGCUUUUGUGGUCUUGCGUAGGAUGAGGCACUUUUAUUAGUGAACGUCCUCACGCAACCACUUUUUACUGUGAGAAAAUCAGAGUGCUCAAAGCAGGCAUUUGCCGUGAAUGUAUUAGCAUGGAAUAAUAGAAUAGGACUUGGUUCUAUUUUGUUGGUUUGUUGGGACUGAGUAAUGAUUAAGAGGGACAGUUGGGGGCAUUUGUAUUUCGGUGCUAGAGGUGAAAUUCUUAGAUUACCGAAAGACAAACUGCUACGAAAGCGUCUGCCAAGGAUGUUUUCAUUGA
This 382-nucleotide ribosomal RNA is filed under the name uncultured eukaryote. RNAcentral describes it as "partial 18S ribosomal RNA". It matches the Rfam family "Eukaryotic small subunit ribosomal RNA", at positions 592 to 976 of the family's 1831-position model. The record is from RNAcentral.